GCAUGCGAUCAUACCAGCACUAAAGCACCGGAUCCCAUCAGAACUCCGAAGUUAAGCGUGCUUGGGCGAGAGUAGUACUAGGGUGGGUGACCUCCUGGGAAGUCCUCGUGUUGCAUUUC
This 119-nucleotide ribosomal RNA is filed under the name Triticum aestivum (bread wheat). Lineage: Eukaryota; Viridiplantae; Streptophyta; Magnoliopsida; Poales; Poaceae. The record is from RNAcentral.